Long non-coding RNA from Mya arenaria, 2018 nucleotides. RefSeq lists it as uncharacterized. The record is from RefSeq and is a predicted model, not a curated record. NCBI's taxonomy places the organism in Eukaryota, Metazoa, Mollusca, Bivalvia, Myida, Myidae. The transcript has 3 exons.
UUAUGUUGGUGUAGAUACGUUGGGACCUUGGGAAAGCGUGAUUCGUCGGACGAGAGGAGGUCAUGCUUGUAGUAAACGUUGGGGUAUUAUGUUCACAUACCUUGUGACUAGAGCUGUGCAUAUAAAAGUUGUCGAGUUCAUGAGUGCUUCUUCUUUCAUAAAUGCAAUGCGUAGAUUGAUUGCAAUCAGAGAACCAAUGGCCAUGCUGGAGAUUUGAUUUAAAUACAUUCCGUUGUUUAAUACAAUAAUAUAAUUUUGGAUAGUUAAGCCUUUACGGUUUUCAUUUCGUUUUUUUUUCGGUUAGAUUUAUAAUCAUGAAUUAAUCAUCCCUCAUGAAAGACUUUGUUUUUAUCAAGUUUGUUUUCAGUCUUCUAAUGAUACUUUUUUAAUAUAAUAUGUUUACGAAAGGGAUAUACGAUUAGAAUGCAUUCUAAAAGACUGAGUCAAAUAUAUAUUAGUGCAUUAAAGUCUACUUACUUACCCCAUUUUAAUAAAGAUCGUAAGGUUUAAGAUCGUUACUUUCUGACGUAACUCCGUUUUGGGCGUAAACUGCGUUCCAAUCUGGUAGUAACUUUACGGGAGCACCUAAUCUCUCUUAAGAAUCGCAAAUAUGACGGCAGCGUUCGGCGUUAUUUUCAUGUCCAGAGGCAAAAAUAGGAUUGGGAGGACGUUUCCGGCAAGAUUGACCUUGGCCGAUGUCUGGGAAGAUAUUGUCGUCUCCCGGUAACGGCUGGGGAGUUCAUCAGCGCAGACGAAUCGCGAGCACUCGAUUUCGGCUGAGACGAAGGACAAGAGUAAAUAUAACAUGAAAAUAGUUCGAUACAUCAAGGAAAAAUAAAUGAAGACCGUGGACACCCUUGUCGUACACCUCGUUUCAUUGCAAAACUGUUAGAAAGGUGACCAUUAUUUAGAAUGGUUCCUCUAAUAUGAGUAUAAAACAGCUUAAUCCAUUUAAUAAGUUCAUCUCCAAAAUACUGAUUAAAUUAUUUAAACAUUUAAUUAUGAAAUUGUGAUCAAUGCUAUCAAGAGCUUUGUCAAAAUCGACGAAUAUUAGUAACCCUGCCUUAUUAGAAUUAUUCAGAUGUUCAAUGACUUCUUGUAUUAACCUUAUAUGUUCACCAAUAAACCUUCUUUUGAUGAAUCCAGUUUGAUUUGGUGAUAUUAAUGUAGUGAGCAUUUUCUUGAUUCUGUUUGCAUUUGCCUUAGUUGCAGUUUUACAAUCUGUGUGAAGCAGACUUUGAAAAUAUUUCGAGGUCCUAACCUGACUUAGGUAUAAGGGAAACUAUAACUUUUUUGUAAUACAGUAAGGAGAUUGGUUUUGGAAUGAGAAAUUGAUUGAUUUAACGAAAUAUUCUUUUAAGAUAUUCAAAAAUACAUCAAAUAUUCUACUGUUAACCCAUCUGAACCAAGGCAUUCAUUUAGUUUCAUUUCUUUAAGAGAAUAUGCACAUUUGGAUUCUGUUAGUAAACAUUCACCUCUUCGUUGCUUAAUUGUGUUGAAGGAACAUCAAAAAAGUUAAUAUCAUUGUUAGUUUGUACUUGUUUUCUGUAUAAACUUUCAUAAAAAGUUCGUUGCUCGUUUAAGAUAAAUUUUAUAUCUUUAAUGUUUGUCGAAAUGGUUUGGUUCUAUUUAAGUUUAGUAAUUGUUUUUUGUUCAAAGUGGCGUAUUUCAAAACUAGCAAAGUAUUUACUAUUUUUUUCAUUUUUUUACCAUAAUAUCAUUCAGUUAACAUUUUCUGUUAUUUUCAUAUCUAAUUCUUGUUAAAGAACACUUAUUUCUGUCUAAUUGUCAUUAUUACUUAAUUUUGUGUUUUCUUGUAGUUUUUUUAUUCUUCCGAUUAGAUCGUUUUCUUCUUUUACUUUUUCUUUGUUAGCAUUAGUUGAAUAUGUAUGCAAAAAGCUACAGAAACACGCUCAGUAGCAAAAAGUUUAAACAUUAACCCGGUUUAAUGGCACUGGGUAAACGCCAAAGACAUAGAACAUAAAAUCACAAACAAGAAACAUGGAAGAACAGCACAA